CGGGCCGUAGCGCAGCUUGGUAGCGCACUACCUUGGGGUGGUAGGGGUCCCGGGUUCAAAUCCCGGCGGUCCGACCA
RNAcentral lists this transfer RNA (77 nucleotides) under Thermodesulfovibrio yellowstonii. RNAcentral's name for it is "tRNA-Pro". It matches the Rfam family "tRNA". Rfam says of the family: Transfer RNA (tRNA) molecules are approximately 80 nucleotides in length. The record is from RNAcentral. Lineage: Bacteria; Pseudomonadati; Nitrospirota; Thermodesulfovibrionia; Thermodesulfovibrionales; Thermodesulfovibrionaceae. RNAcentral also lists the same sequence under 5 other names.